Molecule: transfer RNA, 65 nt
Filed under: Mytilisepta virgata
Lineage: Eukaryota; Metazoa; Mollusca; Bivalvia; Mytilida; Mytilidae
Description: tRNA-Pro
Source: RNAcentral
AAAAGUAGUUUAUAUUACAAUUUAAGCUUUGGGAGUUUAAGGUGCUUGUGAAAGCUUUCUAGUUU